AACGAACGUUAGCGGCGCGCUUAACACAUGCAAGUCGAGCGAGAAAGGGGCAACCCCGGUAAAGCGGCGCACGGGUGAGUAACACGUAGGUAAUCUACCUCCAGGUGGUGGAUAACCUUCCGAAAGGAGGGCUAAUACAGCAUGAGACCACGAACUCGAAAGGGUUUGAGGUCAAAGUCGGCCUCUUCAUGAAAGCUGACGCCAGGAGAUGAGCCUGCGGCCCAUCACGGUAGUUGGUAGGGAAUGGCCUACCAAGCCAAAGACGGGUAGCUGGUCUGAGAGGAUGAUCAGCCACACUGGAACUGAGACACGGUCCAGACUCCUACGGGAGGCAGCAGUGGGGAAUCUUGCGCAAUGGGCGAAAGCCUGACGCAGCGACGCCGCGUGAGGGAUGACGGCCUCGG
This 404-nucleotide ribosomal RNA is filed under the name uncultured bacterium. RNAcentral describes it as "bacterial SSU rRNA". It matches the Rfam family "Bacterial small subunit ribosomal RNA", at positions 29 to 420 of the family's 1533-position model. The record is from RNAcentral.